Molecule: unclassified non-coding RNA, 809 nt
Filed under: Hevea brasiliensis (rubber tree)
Lineage: Eukaryota; Viridiplantae; Streptophyta; Magnoliopsida; Malpighiales; Euphorbiaceae
Source: RNAcentral
UCCCUUCUUCAGUAUCCUUAUUUUUUUCUUUCAAAAAAAAAAUGAAUCCUUCUACCAUAGUCAUGACAAAAGAGCUCUCCGCUGGAUCAUCACGAUCCGGCGGUGAACAGUUACAAAAUAAUAAUCCCGCACCGUUGAGUCGGUACGAGUCACAAAAAAGGCGAGACUGGAACACUUUUGGUCAGUACUUGAAAAAUCAAAGACCACCUGUUCCGUUAUCACAGUGUAAUUGCAAUCAUGUUCUAGAAUUCCUUCGAUACCUUGACCAGUUCGGUAAGACUAAGGUUCACUUACACGGAUGCGUGUUUUUCGGACAACCUGAUCCACCAGCACCUUGUACUUGCCCGUUAAGGCAAGCCUGGGGUAGCCUUGAUGCUUUAAUAGGGAGGCUUAGAGCUGCGUACGAAGAGAACGGAGGGUCCCCGGAGAAUAAUCCGUUUGGAAAUGGCGCGAUUCGCCUUUAUUUAAGAGAGGUAAAAGAGUGUCAAGCUAAGGCAAGAGGGAUUCCUUACAAGAAGAAAAAGAAAAGGAAGCUUAAUAAUAAUUCAAUUAAGCCCAUUGGCGCUGGUGUUGGUGCUAGUGCUGAUCAACACAAAAAUUUGAUGCAAGCAAGCUAAAUUAUAAGGAUAAAGGCCUCUCAGAGUGGAAUAUACGUAGUAUGUUGUUGUUAUAUAUAGGGUGGUCACAUGAAUUGGAUGUAUCUGAAGUAGAUAUAUAGAAGAUGAUGAUGCCUGCCACAAGACAAAUAUGUACCUCAAUAUACUAGCUAUCUAGCUAGUUAUGUUUUCUUAUUAAGUUAUUAUUAUUAU